Molecule: small nucleolar RNA, 67 nt
Filed under: Pteropus vampyrus (large flying fox)
Lineage: Eukaryota; Metazoa; Chordata; Mammalia; Chiroptera; Pteropodidae
Description: Small nucleolar RNA R38 (ENSPVAG00000029749.1)
Source: RNAcentral
UUGAGCUGAGGGUAAUUUAAAGUUAUCCCUGUGUGAAAGGACAUCUUUUGUGAAGAGUGAAGCUCAG